AGAUGGCGACCGGCGCACGGGUGAGUAACACGUAUCCAACCUGCCGAUAACUCGGGGAUAGCCUUUCGAAAGAAAGAUUAAUACCCGAUGGCAUAAUUAGACCGCAUGGUCUUAUUAUUAAAGAAUUUCGGUUUAUCGAUGGGGAGUGCGUUCCAUUAGGCAGUUGGUGAGGUAACGGCUCACCAAACCUUCGAUGGAUAGGGGUUCUGAGAGGAAGGUCCCCCACAUUGGAACUGAGACACGGUCCAA
RNAcentral lists this ribosomal RNA (249 nucleotides) under uncultured bacterium. RNAcentral describes it as "partial 16S ribosomal RNA". It matches the Rfam family "Bacterial small subunit ribosomal RNA", at positions 86 to 334 of the family's 1533-position model. The record is from RNAcentral.